GGGGUGGCGCGAUGCCACACCAUGUGUCCUAAAGGCAUCGUCCACAUGACGGACGCCUACGUGCAUCCUUCUCCGCAACCUAUAGCCUAACCUGCCUGCCCUUUCCCCUGUUGACACCUUGCGUAUCUCUCCGCUGUCGCAGCCAACAGUUUCCACGUACAAAUCCGCCUCCGCCGAUUAACCAUGUGUUGCUUUUCGCAUGCUUCACAAAGAAAUUGAAAAGAGGACGGCGAACGUAUCGUUACGGUGGUGGUAGCGGUGCGGAUAGAGGUGGAAGACUGUGGUAUUUGUGCUAAACGCACUCAAAGGGUUUACCGCCGUGUUUGAACCUCAAUUUCUUUCUCUAUUGUGUGUACGUCCGGAUUUAACUUUGCACAAUUCAGUUUAGGAAUGGGUAGGAACUAGGAAGAAGUCAGAGAACUUCGCAGUCGGAGAUGGUGACGGUCUGUGAUCUCUACAGCGGUGAUGGUAACCCCAAAACAGUCGUUCUAACGGCGAUAGUUGGGGUUAUGAAGGAAGACGGUAGCAGCAGUAUAGGGGCUGUAGCCGUGGACUGUAUCCCUACUGACGAAAAGUGAUUCUGACACUUGCCAAGCACGACCGUGUCAAAAGGUGGCAUGGUAGUGCCAAACGCCCAGCAGUUUAAAUACGAGUUCCUAGCUCAUUUGCAAGGGAGUUGGA
This 681-nucleotide long non-coding RNA is filed under the name Helianthus annuus (common sunflower). The record is from RNAcentral. Lineage: Eukaryota; Viridiplantae; Streptophyta; Magnoliopsida; Asterales; Asteraceae.